RNAcentral lists this ribosomal RNA (1129 nucleotides) under Eubacterium limosum. Its description in RNAcentral is "bacterial SSU rRNA". It matches the Rfam family "Bacterial small subunit ribosomal RNA", at positions 64 to 1196 of the family's 1533-position model. The record is from RNAcentral. Lineage: Bacteria; Bacillati; Bacillota; Clostridia; Eubacteriales; Eubacteriaceae.
AAGUUUUGAUGGAUCCUUCGGGUGACAUUAAAACUGGAAAGUGGCGAACGGGUGAGUAACGCGUGGGUAACCUGCCCUAUGGAAAGGAAUAGCCUCGGGAAACUGGGAGUAAAGCCUUAUAUUAUGGAGUGAUCGCAUGGUCAUUUCAUGAAAACUCCGGUGCCAUAGGAUGGACCCGCGUCCCAUUAGCUAGUUGGUGAGAUAACAGCCCACCAAGGCGACGAUGGGUAACCGGUCUGAGAGGGCGAACGGUCACACUGGAACUGAGACACGGUCCAGACUCCUACGGGAGGCAGCAGUGGGGAAUAUUGCGCAAUGGGGGCAACCCUGACGCAGCAAUACCGCGUGAGUGAAGAAGGUUUUCGGAUCGUAAAGCUCUGUUAUUGGGGAAGAAAAAAUGACGGUACCCAAUGAGGAAGUCCCGGCUAACUACUUGCCACCAGCCGCGGUAAUACGUAGGGAACAAGCGUUGUCCGGAAUGACUGGGCGUAAAGGGCGCGUAGGCGGUCUAUUAAUUCUGAUGUGAAAGGUACCGGCUCACCCGGUGAAUUGCAUUGAAAACUGGUAAAUUUGAUUAUUGAAAAGGCAAUUGAAAUUCCUAUUGUAGCGUUGAAAUGCGUAAAUAUUAGGAGGAACACCAGUGGCGAAGGCGGCUUGCUGAACAAAUACUGACGCUGAGGUGCGAAAGCGUGGGGAGCGAACAGGAUUAGAUACCCUGGUAGUCCACGCCGUAAACGAUGAAUGCUAGGUGUUGGGGAAACUCAGUGCCGCAGUUAACACAAUAAGCAUUCCGCCUGGGGAGUACGACCGCAAGGUUGAAACUCAAAGGAAUUGACGGGGACCCGCACAAGCAGCGGAGCAUGUGGUUUAAUUCGAAGCAACGCGAAGAACCUUACCAGGUCUUGACAUCCUCUGACGAGCCUAAAGAUAGGAAGUUUCCUUCGGGAACAAAAAACAGGUUGGUGCAUGGGUUGUCGUCAGCUCGGGUCCUGGAAAUGGUGGGUUUAAGUCCGCAACGGACGGCAACCCCUUGCCCUUAAGUUGCCAGCAAUAAAGUUUGGGCAUUCUAAAAGGGACUGGCCGUAAACAAUACGGGAGGGAGGUGGGGGAUGGACGUCCAAUUCAUCAU